Molecule: signal recognition particle RNA, 148 nt
Filed under: Gorilla gorilla gorilla (western lowland gorilla)
Lineage: Eukaryota; Metazoa; Chordata; Mammalia; Primates; Hominidae
Description: Metazoan signal recognition particle RNA
Rfam family: Metazoan signal recognition particle RNA
About the family: The signal recognition particle (SRP) is a universally conserved ribonucleoprotein. It is involved in the co-translational targeting of proteins to membranes.
Source: Rfam by way of RNAcentral
GCUGGGUGUGGUGGUGCGUGCCUGUAAUCCCAGCUACCUGGGAGGCUGAGGCAGGAGAAUCACUUGAACCCAGGAGUCAGAGGUUGCAGUGAGCUGAGAUCACGCCACUGCACUCCAGCCUGGGUGACAGAGAGAGACUCUGUCUCAA